RNAcentral lists this ribosomal RNA (253 nucleotides) under uncultured bacterium. Its description in RNAcentral is "partial 16S ribosomal RNA". It matches the Rfam family "Bacterial small subunit ribosomal RNA", at positions 524 to 776 of the family's 1533-position model. The record is from RNAcentral.
UACGUAGGGCGCAAGCGUUGUCCGGAAUUAUUGGGCGUAAAGAGCUUGUAGGUGGCUUGUCGCGUCUGCCGUGAAAGCCCGGGGCUCAACCCCGGGUGUGCAGUGGGUACGGGCAGGCUGGAGUGCAGUAGGGGAGACUGGAAUUCCUGGUGUAGCGGUGAAAUGCGCAGAUAUCAGGAGGAACACCGGUGGCGAAGGCGGGACUCUGGGCUGUUACUGACGCUGAGGAGCGAAAGCAUGGGGAGCGAACAGG